Molecule: ribosomal RNA, 352 nt
Filed under: uncultured bacterium
Lineage: Bacteria
Description: bacterial SSU rRNA
Rfam family: Bacterial small subunit ribosomal RNA
Source: RNAcentral
GACGAACGCUGGCGGCGUGCCUAACACAUGCAAGUCGAACGGAGUUGCCCUUCGGGACAACUUAGUGGCGAACGGGUGAGUAACGCGUGAGGAACCUGCCUUUCAGUGGGGGACAACAGUUGGAAACGACUGCUAAUACCGCAUAAUGUCAUCGAGCGGCAUCGCUUGAUGACCAAAGAUUUAUGCUGAAAGAUGGCCUCGCGUCUGAUUAGCUAGUUGGUGGGGUAACGGCCCACCAAGGCGACGAUCAGUAGCCGGUCUGAGAGGAUGAACGGCCACAUUGGGACUGAGAUACGGCCCAGACUCCUACGGGAGGCAGCAGUGGGGAAUAUUGGGCAAUGGGGGAAACCCU